RNAcentral lists this long non-coding RNA (246 nucleotides) under Actinidia chinensis (golden kiwifruit). RNAcentral describes it as "long non-coding RNA (ACHI_LNC001110)". The record is from RNAcentral. Lineage: Eukaryota; Viridiplantae; Streptophyta; Magnoliopsida; Ericales; Actinidiaceae.
UUUUUAUGUUUUCGUUUCAAAUGUUUCUUCGUACGUAUAUGUAUAUUGCAGGAAUCUUGAUGUUUAUCUUUUGUUCUUCUCUUUCUUUGCUCAAUUUUUUUGUGGUUUAAGAGUAGUAUGUGAUUCUCUAUAUUUCUUAUUUCCCUUGAACCACCAAGGAAAUUCUCUAUAUUUCUUAUUUCCCUUCAACCUGAGGAGGUUUGUAUUUGUUUUUCAAAUUUUCCACAUUGGAAAGGAUAAUGCUUU